Molecule: ribosomal RNA, 255 nt
Filed under: uncultured bacterium
Lineage: Bacteria
Description: partial 16S ribosomal RNA
Rfam family: Bacterial small subunit ribosomal RNA
Source: RNAcentral
UACGGGGGGGGGCAAGCGUUGUUCGGAAUUACUGGGCGUAAAGGGCUCGUAGGCGGCCAACUAAGUCAGACGUGAAAUCCCUCGGCUUAACCGGGGAACUGCGUCUGAUACUGGAUAGCUUGAGAUUGGGAGAGGGAUGCGGAAUUCCAGGUGUAGCGGUGAAAUGCGUAGAUAUCUGGAGGAACACCGGUGGCGAAGGCGGCAUCCUGGACCAACACGUGACGCUGAGGAGCGAAAGCCAGGGGAGCAAACGGG